UACGAAGGGGGCUAGCGUUGCUCGGAAUUACUGGGCGUAAAGGGUGCGUAGGCGGAUAGUUCAGUCAGAGGUGAAAGCCCAGGGCUCAACCUUGGAACUGCCUUUGAUACUGGCUAUCUUGAGUUUGGGAGAGGUGUGUGGAACUCCGAGUGUAGAGGUGAAAUUCGUAGAUAUUCGGAAGAACACCAGUGGCGAAGGCGACACACUGGCCCAAUACUGACGCUGAGGCUCGAAAGCGUGGGGAGCAAACAGG
RNAcentral lists this ribosomal RNA (253 nucleotides) under uncultured bacterium. Its description in RNAcentral is "partial 16S ribosomal RNA". It matches the Rfam family "Bacterial small subunit ribosomal RNA", at positions 524 to 776 of the family's 1533-position model. The record is from RNAcentral.